This 580-nucleotide ribosomal RNA is filed under the name uncultured Alphaproteobacteria bacterium. RNAcentral describes it as "bacterial SSU rRNA". It matches the Rfam family "Bacterial small subunit ribosomal RNA", at positions 1 to 600 of the family's 1533-position model. Lineage: Bacteria; Pseudomonadati; Pseudomonadota; Alphaproteobacteria. The record is from RNAcentral.
UCGCGGGAAUUCGAUUCCGAAUUCGUCGCAACAGAGUUUGAUCCUAGCUCAUAACGAACGCUGGCGGCAGGCUUAAUACAUGCAAGUCGAACGGUUGUAGCAAUACAGCAGUGGCAGACGGGUGAGUAACACGUGGGAACCUACCUAGGGGUACGGAAUAACUCAGGGAAACUUGUGCUAAUACCGUAUACGACCUCAGGGUGAAAGAUUUAUCGCCCCUAGAUGGGCCCGCGUUGGAUUAGCUAGUUGGUGAGGUAAAAGCUCACCAAGGCGACGAUCCAUAGCUGGUCUGAGAGGAUGAUCAGCCACACUGGGACUGAGACACGGCCCAGACUCCUACGGGAGGCAGCAGUGGGGAAUCUUGGACAAUGGGCGAAAGCCUGAUCCAGCCAUGCCGCGUGAGUGAUGAAGGCCUUAGGGUUGUAAAGCUCUUUCGCCAGGGAAGAUAAUGACGGUACCUGGAUAAGAAGCCCCGGCUAACUUCGUGCCAGCAGCCGCGGUAAUACGAAGGGGGCUAGCGUUGUUCGGAAUUACUGGGCGUAAAGCGCACGUAGGCGGUUUUCCAAGUUGGAGGUGAAAU